CUCCCCCCAUCCCAUCCCCGGAGAGGAAGGCAGGGAAGGGGAGAGGAGGGGGCAGCUAGCAAUCUGUGCCAGGCAGUCACAGCAGGGUUGGGGGGUCUGCCCUGGAGGCUCCCACUUGGGGAGUGAGAGGGGACCACAGUGGCAGGGACAGGAGUGCAGCCUGCAGUCGCGUGGGGCUCCAUGCUCGGUUUACUGCUCAGCUGUUGCCAUCUUGAAAUUCUUAAUUUCUGAGGAGGGGCCCACAUUUUUGUCUUGCACUGGGACCCACAAUUCUGUAGCCAUCUGAGGAAGGGUCAGCACAGGAAUCGGGGCCCACGGGGUGCUGCCUCUCCGCUUCCGGGGCCGCGGACUAUGCAUACAGCCGGCCGGAUGGCUCCGUCCCCUCCAGGUAGGGGGAAGACUGGGCCAAUGGGCCAGGUUUUUUCUGGGCAAGAGGCAAAGGGACUGAUAAGAGGCCUUGUGCUGGGCACUUGGCCAGCCCUGCCCCCACCGAGGGAAGGCAGUCUGCCCAGGAGUCCCACGGCCCGGGGCUCGGGCCCUCAGGGCUGGUCCUCUCCGAGGCACCGCUGGAGACAGAGCUGGCCCGGCACUUCCACCCACUCACCGGCUUCAGGAACGACAUGCCUUCUGGGCUCCUAGCCGAUCAGCACGUAGUAGGUGCUCAGUGAACGCCCCUGGAGGCCAGCAGGAGGUGGGUGGGGGUGGGAUGGGGGGGGAGGAACCUGCAGCCCCACUCAAGUCCAGGCUCUGCCACUUGCUAACAGAGCAUCUCUCUGAGCCUCAGGUUCCCCAGUGGUGGGGCCCUUGGAGGGCGCGGGCGUGGCCCCCCGUGACAAGCAUCCACUUGCUCUGCACAGCAUCCACCCCUGUCUUGUAGGAACAGCCCAAAUCCUCCUGUGGGGACCCCCACUCACAGGCUGACCCCACCUCUGGCACGCACGUGACUGGAACCUGGGACAUCACGGCCUCAACUUUGAGAUAAGCAGUCAGGCCAUGGGCUUGGGCCCCUGCAUCUGUUGUCAGGGCUGUGAGCUGUGAGCUGUCAGCCUGGAGGGGCCACACCAAGGGGAGUGGCUGCCUGAGAGGAGAGCAGGGCUGGGAGACAGGCUCUGACAGGAGCAGUCAGGCUCCUGGAUCCAGCCAUGCCUGAAGGAGGUCCACCACCAGUGAACCGUCAGACGCAUGCCCUGGGCUUCCUACUGAAGAACCUUCCAGUGAACUUCGGUACUUGUUACGUGACCUUUCCAGCUCUGCAUGAAUCAGCUGAGCAAAUUGUGAAAAUGUGAGAGGAUUACGCAAUGCCAGGAAAAGGUGGACCCAAACUGAGGUCUGGCAGGGACAUGGGGAAGUGGGCAGGGGUCUCACUGGGGUGACCGACACCCAGGGCCAUGGGAGAACCCAGGCGGCCCCGCUGUGCCCCUGCAGAAGGCAGGGCUCUGGUCAGGGACCGGGGGCAGGGACUUCAUGUUCCUAGUCACAGCCCAGCACUGCCACUUUCUGCUUGUGGCCCUAGGCCAGUCUUCCAGCACAACCACCUGGCCAGCGUGUCCUAAGAAAAGCAAACGGCUUCCCAAGCAAAGCUCCCCCAGCCCCCAGGGCAAGACCCAGGAGGUGCUCCUCCGGGACCCCAGCCCGCUGCCCCGCAGCCGUGCCCCCGCCCCCGGGCCUGGGGGCUGCGCACUGGUUUCCGUGCUGUGAUUUCCAGGUGUGUGUGCCUGUGCGGCCGAGUGACUGAGAUCUGUGCCCAGCCCGGGGGCAGGGGGGCUACUCUAGAGCAAUCCCUUGACCCCAGCCCUGGCCCAGGACCUGGUCCUGCAGUCAGGGCCACCCGCGGAGGGAGGGGACAUCUCUGUGACCUGACCUGUCCCUACAUGGUGGGAAGGAGGACGAGUGCCAGCUUCCUAGCUUCCUUCAGGAGCCCUACCCCUGGCUCAGGUCAGAAGCACACCCACAGACACACGUGUACGCACACGCGCACUCGGCCACACCCACACCCACACGAAGACUCACAGCCAGGCCCACAUACAUAGACACACUAAGAAACACAAGAGACACACAUGUACAGACACAUGCACAUAUGUGCACACACACAGGCAUACACAUAUGUACUUAACGGCACACGCAGACACACUGCACACAGACACACCUUGGGAGUUGCCCCAGGCCCCCUCCUUCCUCCUCGAGAACUCGGGGGACGUCUUCAUCAACCGGACCCUGUGCCCCAGCACGGAGACGGUCAGCUCUUUCGUUAUUUUCCUGACAGACACAGGCCCCGCAAGGAGCCGCCUGAGUCCCGGGGGACUCGGGGAGUAAACAGAGGUGCAACCCUGGGGCCUGGCCUCUCCCGCAGGAGGCAGCUCCCAGAGUGGGCCCCUCCUUCCGACCCCCCGAAGCAGGGGUCAGGGCCCCAUGCAGGGUGAGGGCCCUGCGUGUUUGCCCAGGGCUGGUACCGUGCGUGCAUGGCACACACACCUGCACAUGCGUGCACACACAUGCACACGUGCUCUCUGGACCCCAGCACAGAACAGCACAGGCCAGGUCAGGAGACCUGGAGUACCCCUGAGGGCUGGCAGGGGAGGGCGGCGUGGGACAGGGGUGUGUUUGCUGGGAAGAGAGGGAGGUGGGCUGUGGUUCCAGGGCCGGCACGGGGCCUUGGGGACCCUGACGGGGUCUGGGGAGGGGGCUGUCGGCCUCUCAGCCUCACCCCCCGAGCAGAGCAGGGCAGCAGCCAGACAGGAAGCUCGUGCACAGGAGUCAGAGCCCCAGGGUGGCCGCCAGCAUGCCCAGCCCAGCGGUCCCUCUGUCCCCUGUCCCAGACGGACGACCCUACCCGCACUGUGACCUCAGCUGCUCCAACCACGGGGAGGGUAUCUCUGGCCCGUGUAGGGAGCGUGCUGCCCCCAUCCCCACCCGCCCAGCCUCAACCCCAGGCCUGGGGUCUGAACAAUGGACUGGGGUCACCAGGCCCCGUCUGCCUCGUCAGCACUGUCACCAGGGCCACCUGACCUGUCCACCGCGAGAGGGGCCCAGCAGGGGACAGGAGGCCUGAGGGAGGGCGAGACAGGGCAGACGUACAAGGGCUCUGACCUGCUGUGACACUGGCGCUGCUGGGCACAGGGCGCAGAGCACGGACAGGCUCUGGGGGGCAGGGCCUCCAAGGGCUGGCGGAUGGCAGCCAGCCACGGCCAGCAGGAGUGCAGACAAAGGCAUGGCUCAGUCCCCACCCGUCACCCUGCAGCAAAGGCUGAGGGGCCGAGUCCAUGGCAGGAAGCUCCGGGGGCGGGGGCAGCUGCAGCACAGACGAGGACCCUGGGCCCGGGCUGGGCAGAGCUGGGCACCAUCCCUUCCUCCGCUUACACAUGCGGGUCCACGCUCCCCCCCUCACCCACUUCCACGAGCCCCAAGGCUGGGCCCUCAUCAGAGCAGCCUGUCUCCACCCAUGGCCAGGCUCGACAACCCCGAGGGUGUGAUGCUUACUACCCAGGGUCUGAUCAGGGUCUAGUCCACAGGCCCUGGAGAGUCCUGGCCGGGACUCAUGGUCUGAGCUUGGCUCAGGUCCCCAGCCCUGCUGACACAUGGCACAGCUGGGUCACAGCCACAGGAAACCCCACCAAACACUCUUGGGGAUGCAAGGGAGGUUCCCAGGCUGGGGCCAGCCCCCCAUAGCUGGAUUUGAGGGCCCUUCUGACACCUAGCCCCACCCAGGGCUCUGGAGAAGGCACCCUGGACGAAGGUCCACCUUCACCCUUCUUUCCUGCUUCUCCAUGGCUUAUGCUUUUUUUCUGGGUGGGGAGCCUCACCACGCAGCAUGAGGGAUCUCAGUUCCCUGACCAGGGGUCGAAUCCGCGCCCCCUGUAGUGGAAGCGUGGAGUCCUAACACUGGACCGCCAGGGAAGCCUGGCUUAUGCAUUCUUAGUGCAUGGAGAGAACCUGCAGAGACGCAAGCAGUUUCAUUCAUUCAUUCGGCAAAUAUCGAUACUUAACUGCCAACCUGGGAAGUGGGCACAUCCAGAACCACACCUGAGUCAUGCAGAGGCAGCUUCUGGGGGUGAGGGUGCCUCUUUCCUUAGAGAAGAGCAUUUAUUACCUCUGGCCCCCACCCCAGUUGCCCCUGCGCCUCCCUGGCAGCUGUUCGCGCGCCCUUAGAUCAGACCUCCUGCAGAGAGCCCCUCCCGAGAGCCCCUUUUCUCGUGGUUAAUAUCUCCACUGGCGCCAUCCUUAGGAGGAAAGGGCAAUAGGUGAGGAAAUUCAGACCCAGGGUCAAGUCCCCCUCCCAUCAGCUCUCCAAACUGUGCUCUCUCCAGCCUCUGAGUCCCUGCACCUGAGUCUCUCCGCUCCCCCCGCGUGGACACCAAGGCCCCAGAGCUCUUUUUUCUGGGGGCCACUGACGCAGGCCGUGGGAUGGGGGUGACCUUGCCUCUAAGCUGGCAGCACUGGCUCCAGGAGAGGGGGGGCGCAGGCCGGGAGGGAGGGCUGCCAGCUUCAUUCUUGCGGGUCGCCGCUGGGGAGGACUCCAGAACCUUCUGACCCAGGCUCUGUGGUCGGAUGUGUCUGGUGUGCGGAGAGCUGCCCCUCGUCCCUCACCCUCUCGCCCUCAUUCUCACGCUGGGCCCUGUGCUCACAGCAGCCAGGAAGCAGAAGACACAGAUGCCCAGGAAGAAGGCCGUCUCCUCAGUCCGUCCCCAGUCCCACUGCCCCGCCUGCCCCCAACCCGUGAGCUUCAUCUCAGGGACCUCCAACCGAGCUCUCAGUGCCCAGGCCCGCUGUCCCCCCAGGACCAGGCAGGGGCUCCCUGGACACUGCCAACAAAGAAAGGCACUGCCAGGGGAAGCGGCACAGGCACACGGGACCCACAGGGGACGACUGCCCAGGUUGGGGUUCAAGUGACAUUGACCAUAUUGCUGUAAGCUCAAGCAAAGCUGCCCCAGCUGGCCACCAUGACUGUCCAAGCCAGGCCAAGGGGGCUAAUUUUGGGUGCUGUUGGUAGCCCUGUCUUCCUCCUGGGGAGUGGACAAGAGCAUAGGAGAGCAGCCUGGAGCUUCAGGAAAGAGAUCUUAGGGGGACACUCCCUUCCGGGAAUGAGGUGGAUGCAGGGAAAAGACAGGUGGAAAGAGAAGCUGUUCUUUGAGUUCCUGGAUGCAGCCGUGUCUGAAGCCCACCUCCUGGACUUUUCAGCCGUGGGCAACAAUAAACAUUCCUUUACUUAGG
Molecule: long non-coding RNA, 5208 nt
Organism: Orcinus orca (killer whale)
Lineage: Eukaryota; Metazoa; Chordata; Mammalia; Artiodactyla; Delphinidae
Exons: 2
Source: RefSeq, a predicted model, not a curated record